RNAcentral lists this long non-coding RNA (1080 nucleotides) under Sorghum bicolor (sorghum). RNAcentral's name for it is "long non-coding RNA (SBIC_LNC014427)". Lineage: Eukaryota; Viridiplantae; Streptophyta; Magnoliopsida; Poales; Poaceae. The record is from RNAcentral.
CGCUUCUCCCCGUAGAGGUCGAUCCAGAAGGCUACACGUACAUAUAGAAACAAAAAUACUAAAUUAAUAACCAAGUAAUAAGUCUAAAACCUAAUGUAAGAGAUGCAUUAUUUAUAUAUGUUUACAUUUACAUACCUCGCCAGUAUUUUCUUCUUGUUGCACGACAAGUUGUUGCUCAGGGGCAUUGCCCUCUUGUUGCUCAGGGGCAUUGCCCUCUUGUUGCUCAGUACGAUUGCCUUGCAUGAUGUCGUGGUAAUCAACGAAGUACUGACUACCGUCGUCGAUUAUAUUUUGAAUGGCAGCUUCCAUAUAAUCAGGAUCAUCAUGAGGACGGUCAGCCAUUUCUAUGUCUGCAACCAUACAUAUAUAUAUAUUCUAUAUAAGAUAAGAAAUACACUAAUACUACUACAAAUGAAAGUGUUGGAGUGCUCUAAAAAUAAUACUAGAAUCUUUUAAGCCAAGUAAUACAUUAGAAUAAAAAACAAUACUAGAAUAAUACAUACAUACAAAAAAUAUUACAUAUAUAUGUGUGUGUAUAUGUAAAAAAAAUAAAACAUACAUACAUACUAUAUAUAAAACAUACAUACAUACUAUAUAUAUACUAGAAUAAUAUAUUAAAAAAAUAAUACAUACAUACAUACAUACAUACAUACAUACAUACAUACAUACAUACAUACAUACAUACAUACAUACAUACAUACAUACAUACAUACAUACAUACAUACAUACAUACAUACAUACAUACAUACAUACAUACAUACAUACAUACAAACUAUAUAUAUGUGUGUGUAUAUUUACAAAAAAUAAUAUACAUACAUACAAAAAAUAUUACAUAUAUACAAAAAAGUAAAACAUACAUACAAAAAAAUUACAUAUAUAUAAAAAAAAUAUAUACAAAAAAUUACAUAUAUACAUACUAUAUAUACUAGAAAUAUAUACAAAAAAUUACAUAUAUAUACAAAAAAAUAUAUACAUACUAUAUAUAAUAUACAUACUAUAUAUAAUACUACAAAUCAAAACACCAUAUAUAUAAUAUACAUAUACACAAAAAAAAUUACAUAUAUAUACAUAAAAAUAUAU